Molecule: long non-coding RNA, 1376 nt
Filed under: Aotus nancymaae (Ma's night monkey)
Lineage: Eukaryota; Metazoa; Chordata; Mammalia; Primates; Aotidae
Description: lncRNA (ENSANAG00000039074.1)
Source: RNAcentral
CCAGAAUCUCAGCAAGGAGAAUCACUUGAACAUGGGAGGUGGCGGUUACAGUGAGCCGAGAUCGCGCCACUGCACUCCAGCCUGGUAACAGAGCAAGACUGCAUCUGAAAAAGUAACAGAAAUUUUCUCCAGACACCUGCCUUCUGAUGAUGGCCCCCUCCCCCGGUGAAGCACGGGAGACCCCAAACUCCUGCCUGACCCUAAAGUGCCUCAUGACCCUGCCCACGCACUCCUCUGGCCACACUGAGUGUCCUCCGAGUCAUGCUGAGCCCUGUGCCUGGGUGUUUGCUGCCCCCUGUCUAAAAGCCUCCCCUCCCUUUUCCCGGCUCCAUCCCCUCAUCCUCUGCCUGCUCAGCACCCACCUCCUGGUCAUUUAACGUGUAGCUCAGGCUGUAAUCCCAGCACUUUAGGAGGCCAAGGGCAGAGGAUCACUUGAGCCCAAGAGCUUGAGACCAGCCUGGGCAACAUAGUGAGACCCCCCUCAACUCCACCAGAAAUGUAAAAGGAAGAAAAAAAGAUGUAGCUCAAGCAUCACCCACCUCCAGGUAGCCUUCCUGAUGGUGCCAUAUGCAGGUGGGCUCAGAGGCAGCCUCUGUUCUCUGGGCAUCAGAAGCUGCCUCCCUGGGGGAAAUGCUCCUGGGUCAGCUCCUGCAGGAGUCCAGGCACAGGAUGAUGGUGAUGGAUCAGGACUGAGGGUCAGAGAUGCAGAAAGCCAGACAGCUUUGGGAUGUACUUGGUGAGAUCAGUGGGAUUUGCUGCAGGCUGGCUGUCAGGGUGCAGGGGAGAAUUCUGGACCGGCCCUGUCUUCAUCUCUCUCUUCCCUCCAAUCCCAGGAAGAGCAAAUGAGGCAGAAGGACUCGUGGGCCUGGCUCAGCAGCUCCGUCCUCAAGAACUUGAGGACCACCAAGUUCCAUGGCUGGGAGGGAGCCUUUCUGGACAGAGUCCUGGGCAUCCGGGGCCAGGAGCUGGGUGCCUUGUGGACCUCCGGCCUCCUCUUCUCCGUGUCGCUGGAGUCCUUCCAAGCAUCUACAUUUCUGAGAACUCCCAUGAGGAAGAGAAAAUGGGGACCACUGACUUCUGUGUCUCUGAAAAUAACUUUGUAAAAGUACUUAAGGAUCCAACACUGUGCUUAUCAUCAGACAGUUCGGGACCCUCUGCUCUGAGAGCAUCAACAUUGGCCAUCUCCUUCUCCUGUUUGAGUCUCAAACUCUGCCUCUGGAACCUGGUUUUGAAGGGAAAAUAGGACAUGCUGCCCAAUGUCAUGAUGGAGGAGCCCAGACCUGGGGCCUUGGAGAAAAGCUGUCCCCACAACCCUUAACCAAGAGCACCAGCAGCCCUUCAGAGGUAGAGACAGUCUCUAUUCACCUACCCUCUUU